ACUCUUCUAUUUUACAGAAGAGGAUUCUGAAGUCUAGAGAAGGGGAAGGACUCAGUCUGCGUGGGAAGAGGAUGCGCAGAAUUACAGAAGGGGCUCAAGGGUGUAGAACAAGGAAAGAGCCUGUGGGGUCCCCAAUAGCAUCUCUAUGAGGUUCACCAAAUAUUUGUUGAAAGAAGAAAGCUUCCUAAUGGCCACAUCCCUGGGGUGUCUGAAUGUAUCCAGGCCACACCACGCACCUGUGGCUGAACCACAUAGCUGGGCCACAUCCCCAACCCCCUCCUUGCUGGGAACUGUGCAGAAGUCAGCAGCCAGAGGAAGAGCUGUUUCCCGUGCAGCUCUAAGUGGGGGCUGUCCCUGGACACAUUCUGCUUUGGAGAAGAGCCCUCAGGAGGAAGAGAAGGGAUGGAGAAGAUCAAAGCCCAAGUAUUUCAAAAAACAAAGAAGAAGACCUUGUUCUUCCAGCUAUCUAAAACUGCUAAAACUGAACUCCACUGGAUCACAGGGAGGAGAGAGAACCUCUUUCCUAAAGAACUUUAUUAGCAUUUAAAUGUGCCCCAGUCUAUCUUGAAAACAACCCCCCUCCCCCCGCCCCGCCGAGCUACAGCUCUCCUCAGCAGCCCCAUCCCAUUUGGUUUAAGCCCCACAGAAAAGGUUCUCUCCAAGGUCACACAGCCCAAGGCCUUGUCAAUCUCCUCCCUGCUUGCCUGCUCAAACACAUUGAGUCCCUCAGUCCUCUAGCUUCUGUGACUUCAUUCAGCCUCCAGCCGUCCUCAGGCCUCCUGGGCUGUGCUGUGCUGGAGACUCUUCCCUCCAUCAGCAGUUCUGGCUCUCAGUCACCCAUGGGGGCCACUCCACUUGUGUGAAACACAUUCACCUUCAAAUUGUCUCUGCUCCCAAACCUACUCCUCCAGUCUCCCUGCUUCAUGGGGUGAGGUGGAGGUUGUGGGGAGGAGGUACCCAAGGGCAGACAAUCCUUCACUUUUUCUCCCUCACCUUUGGCACUCCAUCAGUUGCCAAAGCCUGACACUUUGACCUCCCACAUUUCUGGUGGCCCCACUUCGCUCCGUUCCCAUGGCCACCACCUCCCCGGACUCGUGCGGUGGCCUCCUGGUUAGUCUCCCAGCAACUUCUCUGGCUGGACACCAGUCCUUUCUUCAUACCACAGCCAGUGUGACCUUCAAACAAUGCAAAUAUUAGCAGGUCAGCUGUUUCAUCCAACCCUUCAAAGGCUCCCAGAGCCCUUAGGCUAAAGGGCUGACCACAGAGGCUUAAAUCUUCCUCUGGCUGCCUCUCUAGGCUCCAACCUUCCUGGUCUUUUAAUUCCUCAAAGAUGCCAGUAUCAUCUCUGUGAGACUUAGCUCUUUGCUGGAAUGUACCCUCUAUCUGCAGCUCUGUAGCUCUUUGCUGGAACGUACGCUCUAUCUGCAGCUCUGUCUAGGGAAUGCCUAUUCCUUUCACAUACUUAGAUAGUCCUUGAAUCCCUAGACUGGGUUGCAGGCUCCCCCAAACUCCCUAUGUUCCCUGUUUGUUAACAUUUAUCAUGCUUGUAAUUCUUUGUUUGAUCUGGGACACGGCAGAUGUUUAAUCAAUGAUUAUCUGUUGAAGACACGAGGCUUCUGCCCUGGUGGUGGAGGGGUGUGUGUGAUGUAUUAGGAGCUAAGGCCUUUGGGCAGUGAUAGGUCAUAAGGGUGGGAUCCUUGUGAAUGAGAUUAAUGCUCUUACAAAAGGGAAUCCAGAGAACUCCCUUGGCUCCUCUACCAUGUGAAGUUAUAGCAAGAAGACGAACAUCUGUGAACAAGGAAGUGGGCUCUCACCAGACAUUGAAUCUGCUCGUGCCUUUAUCUUGGGCUUC
Long non-coding RNA from Hippopotamus amphibius kiboko, 1852 nucleotides. RefSeq lists it as uncharacterized. Lineage: Eukaryota; Metazoa; Chordata; Mammalia; Artiodactyla; Hippopotamidae. The record is from RefSeq and is a predicted model, not a curated record. The transcript is spliced from 3 exons.